RNAcentral lists this unclassified non-coding RNA (5299 nucleotides) under Hevea brasiliensis (rubber tree). The record is from RNAcentral. Lineage: Eukaryota; Viridiplantae; Streptophyta; Magnoliopsida; Malpighiales; Euphorbiaceae.
GAGAAGUGAAAGGGGAAUGGACAAAAUGGGAAACACAGAGCCUCUCUCAAAAGCUACAAAAGACCUGGACAUGCUUUUGAGACUUUCAUCCAUUUUAGACUCUCUAGUGGAAAUCAUUUUGACUCACGCCACUGUUUCUGUUUUUUCUUCUUCGACCUUCUUUCCUUCUCCACUUACCUGAACAAUUUUACCGGUCUCUCUUUUUCUCUGUUUUUUUUUUCCUUCUCUGGUAAGCAACAUCAGAGCUACUGUAUAGUUCUGUUUUUCUUGUUUUCUGGGUUCUUCUUCUUUGUGUGUGCGUUUGUUUUACCGAGGAAGGAAAAUCUUGGAACCCGCUGCAACCCAUUUCUUGUCGUGCAAUUUCUUAGCAUCCAAACUUGGUGACUUCGUUGUCAAGCCCUUGAUUUUUGUUUGGGUGUCUGCUUCUUUGUUUUUACAUGUCUUUUGAAAGCAUGAGUGGAACUUUUCUGGUCCUUUUCUAGUCUAUUUAUUGGGAUUUGAUAUUUUGUGCUUUUUUGUUAUAUAGUUUUGUUUUAGACUGUGGAUUAAACAUUUAUUCAGAGUAUUGUGGAUUUUGAUUCUGCUUCAUGUCGUCUCCUCUUUUUGGUUGCCCAGAAAAGUAGAGGAAAGUGAAAUGGGUAGAAAUUCAAAGUUCUGUAUUUUCUUCUCCCUUAGAUCCUGCUGUACAGCAGGAGAAAUUAAAAAAAAAAAAAAGACACAGAAAAGAAAGCAAACCCAUAUAAUCAAAGUUGGCUGAGAUGAUAGUAUUUUACAAAAGAAUAAAAGAAAUAAGCAUUCUAUUAUUCUGUUUUUCUUCUUCGAAAUUUCUCGGCAAACAAACAGAGCGGUGUUUUCUUCUUUUUCAUCACUGUUUGUGGUGUUAUUUUGUUAUCAGUCUCAUCAUUACUGUAACACACUUAUAAGGCAUGUUGACUCUAAAGGGGUCUCUUCAGUUUUUGUCCAUCCAUCAGCAGAAUAGUGGGUUUUGUCUCUGAAUCGAGUUGGGUUAUUAUCAACUGUUUGAACACUUGUUAUUGUAUUGUAAUUCUUGAUGUUACUGCCUACAUGUUGUUUGUAUUAUUGCUUUUUUUACACACAGCAUUUGCUAUUCUUUGACUAUCAAAAAAUUAGAAGUGAAUUUGGCUUUUGGCUACAAGUGGUAAGGCUUUCUAUUUGUGAAUUUUGUUAGGCUUUUGCACUUUCUGCAUACUGUCUGCAAUUCUUGUUCUCUGCUGAUGGAAUCUUGGCGCUACUCUGCUGAAGGUAAAGGCCUUCUGUUCUCAGAUGAAAUAGAUUUAUCAGUUGAUUCAUUUGGGAGAAGUAGAAAAGCAUUCACCGGAUGGGAUGGGGAUUCUGUUGAGAACAUGGAGUUUAUAGAUUUGGGUUUCUCUGAAAUGCCCAGAAAGCCAUUUAAUGGUAGUAACACGGGUAUGGGGAUACUUGGUGGCGGUGAAGCCGGUAUCGAUUCUAGUAAAAUAGAAUUUUCUUCUCCCAGUCAUAUAAUUGCUUCAAAUUCAUCGUUGGAAUCUGGGUCGAAUCAUUCAAAUUCUCUCAUGGAGUCUAAUAGUCAGGAUUCAUCACUAAUUGAUUUAAAGCUAGGGAGGUUGGCUGAUGGCAAAGAAGCACAAAAUAGCAAGUUUUUGGAAGAGAGAUCGGUGGUAUCUUCAGCAAGCCCAACUUUUCAGGCAAAGAAAACUCGAACAAUGAAUUCACGCUCUCAGACUCCCUUUUGCCAGGUAUAUGGUUGUCACAAGGAUCUCAGCUCCUUAAAGGAUUACCACAAGAGGCAUAAAGUUUGUGAAGUACACUCAAAGACUCCGAAAGUUAUAGUUAAUGGCGUUGAGCAAAGGUUUUGUCAGCAGUGCAGCAGGUUUCAUUUGCUGGAUGAAUUCGAUGAUGGUAAACGUAGUUGUCGUAAGCGCCUAGCAGGCCACAACGAACGCAGAAGGAAACCUCAGUUUGGUUCUCUCUCUGGUAGACCCCAUAAGUUGCUGCAGCCAUACCAAGGUAUGAACAGUUCAUACUCUUGUUCUGCAUGGAUAAUGUGACUCAAUUUUAUAUAGCAGCUGGAUGAAUAGGUACAAGUUCCCUGCUUCUCAGGAAAAAGAAGAACAAGAAAGGAUUAAAAAACCCAGUUUUUAGUGGUCUUUUUGUAAAUCCAUUUUAAGGAAUAUAGUAUCAACUUUCCACACGAGGUAUUAUUAAUUUUUGCUUCUUAAAGGGCUAUGAUCUCAUUGCUAGAUAAAUCUUUAUGUUGACAGUGCUGCUAUUUUUGAUUGACUGACGUCUUUUUUUAUUUCUUCUAUAGUCAUUAAUAAAUGAUCUAAUUUAAUGCAUUUCAAUCUUGUAAUUAUUUCUUCAUAUGAAAAAAAUUUAAGAGUUAUAAAUUUUUUGGUACCUGUAAAUUUUUUGCUCUAUAGACAUGUUUCAAACUUGUGCUUUCUUUUCUGCAUUUAUCUUAGGGUGCAUUACUGUUGGAGUAGCUAUUGAGAAAAGCAAGUCCUUAAAUAAGUUAUUAGAGGGUAUUAAAAAUUGGUGUAAAAUUAAAUUUGAUAUGUUUCUGUCCUAAGAGCUCCCAAACAAGUAAAUAACUUUUUUCAAACUGUUUUUUUAACAUUUAAAAUUGCAUGUUUCCAGAAAGUAAUUUUUUGGUCUCCCAACCACAAUCCCAAGCAGAGACUCAGGCUUGCAAUAAGUGACAAUGGUAGACCUGGAUGAAAACUUUGUAUUAUCCAAAUCUUCCUUUCUUUUCACUGGUGUAUUUUUGUUGUGACUGGCAUUGUGUGAACCUGUAAUCUGAGACAUGCUGUUCCUAGGUUCGCAUCUUUAUUCCUGUUUGGGUUUCUGUCUGGCAUCCAACUUCAACAACUGGUCAGCUAGUAACUUGUUGACAAUUAAGUGACUAGUAAUUUGUGUUGACAAUUCAACAAAUGUUUACAACAAGUUAAAAUUUAAUGCAAAACAAUUUGAAAUUAGAAAGAAAAUAUAGGGCUGAAGCUGCAUUUGCCUUUCUCCUCAAUCUUGUAUAGGCUAAUAGAAUUGUUUUUCUGGGUAUUGGAAUUUAUUGAAUUUUGAUUGUAUCAUGCACCCCUACUAGAGUCCUGCUUAUGCAUCUGGGGGACUUUAUGGAGUUGAGUGAUCCUAUUCUAAAAACAACCGUCAUUAUGUUCGCAUGACUUUCAACUUGCAUUGUUGAACAUAUUUUCACUAUAUUACCUAAGAGGUAUGAAUUUGGCAGGCACCAAAUUUUUGGGCACUUCCUUGCCAAAGAAAGCAUCUUUUCUUUUCCCAAACAUACUUCCUGGUGGUAUUCUUUGUCCAGAGAGAUAUGAACAGACCAACUGCUACAAGCCUGUUAAAUUGGAAGAGAAAUUAAUCUACGGUACAAAUGGGCAGUUACUUUCAAAACCUUUUCUCCAUAUACAUGCUAAUGGGAUCCAAAACACUUCUGGAAUUUCACCAUCAGCAGCUGAAGACUUAACUAUUUUUAAUACUGCAUCAACUAUUCAUGAGUUAGCUGGGGUGUGUCAUUCCAGUCGUGCUCUCUCUCUUCUGUCAGCUGAAUCACAGGACUUGGGCCAUUCAGCAGGAAUUAUAAUGGCUAGGCCCUUCAUCAGUCAAGCCAAUCGUUCCCAUCACAGUGUGGGUAUUUCUGACAAACCUUUCGGGGUAGAAUCUUCAGAGAAGAAUAUGCCAAAUGUAUUUCAUUCAUAUGGAAUGAAUUCCAUUAAAGCUAAUCAUAUGGGAUCCUUCAUGGUUUCUUGUGCUGGUUAUGCUGCUGACCUUCAAGUUGAACCAGAUGGUUUUCUUCAAGAAUCGGACCUUUUGAAAGCCAAAUAUUGUGUUUCUGCUGAAAAUGGAUCUACUGUGGAUUUGCUUCAGUUGUCAUCACAUCUUCAGAGGGUGGAGCAACAGAGGAAUUCUGUGCAAGUGAAGCCUGAAAUUGAGGAUUUUUCCACUUUCCUUAGCACAUAUGGGGCAUGAAAGGAACAAGGUGUGUAAAUAACCAGCUUAAAUCUCUUGCUAAUUCUUUUAUGCUGGAAAUUGUCCAUUUUUCUUCAGGUGACCAAAUGUGGAAUCCUUUUCUUUAGAAAAUUAUUGAAAAAUAAAUGCUUAUUCAUGGUUGGUACCUCCAAAUUUCUAGCUGAAGUUACUUGAUGGUAACAUAGGAUAAACUGCAUACAAUAUGGGAAAUAACUAUGACUUGCCUGGAUCUUUGUUAAUUUUUAUUUGUUGAUCAAUGCAAAUCUUUCUCGAGUAAUAAUAAAUUCAAUGAUGUUGCUGGGUCAGAGGACCCAGUUGAAGGUAAGCUGCGUCCAAUGUGUAUGUAAACUGACUUCACUGGUGCAAUGGACAAAAGCCCAGACUUCAGAUAAGUUGAAACUUAAGAUACAAUUUCUAGUACAUUUCUUCACUGAUAAGUAUAUAACAGAAAUUAAUGAGUUUAACUACCGUUAAGUUCGUGUAAUUUCGAUACUGUUUUUUUCUGUAGAGAUCUCCAUUUUGCCCAUACUUGCUAUUGCAAAUCUGGUUCCUGGAUUGCUGAGUUAUACAACUCAGCAAACCAUCAAGAACCUUAAUUUUUGUUUAUCUAAAGCAGUUUGUGAAGGGGCAAUUUUGAAGAGACAAACUAAGGGGCAAAAUGACAAGGAGCAUUACUUCUUAUGAUGUAAAUUUCUUUAAAGGGCUGUCAAUUCUUUAUUCAGAAGAGCUAAUGCUUGAUCAACUAGAUGACCUUUCAUAUCUUUAGUCUUUAUAGGUUAAAUAUUCUGCUUCCUUUGUGUGGUGAAUGGAAUAUUAGUCCUGCUACAUAAUGACUUUUCUCUUCUGCAGUUCUUUACAGCCAUAUAAUAUAUAAAUUAACCCAAAAAUCUGGGAACUUUGAUCCCAUUGUAGCUCCAUGAAUGUUUGGAAAAGAGAGUUUUUCCCUGAAAUUCUUUUUCCAACUGAGGCAAAAGGGGAUUGGCCACUUCACCCACUCAUCAAAAGUUCCUCCUUUCCCUUACUUUUCUUUGUUCUUUUCUUAUUCUCUGUGAAUGGUGAGUUGUAAAAGGCAACACAAAUUCAAAAGUUGGGAAGAAUUCAGCCAUCAAUCCCCACUUAGAAAUUCUGUUUAUGCAACUUGGCAUAAACUAAGAUAAACCUUAUGCAUAAAUUAUGUUUUAGGGCGAUUAAUUACAUGCUUAAAGGUUUGUAAUAUUUGUAUAUGUGCAUAGGGCUCAGCAGAAUAUGUUAAAAAAAUUGAAAAACUGAAUUGAAUCAAUGCAAUUUUGUUUUUCAAUUCGAUUGAUUUAUUUUU